GAUGAACGCUGGCGGCGUGCUUAACACAUGCAAGUCGAACGAGAAAUGUAGACGGACACCUUCGGGCGGAAGCCUUCAUUUCGAGUGGCGGACGGGUGAGUAACGCGUGGGUAACCUGCCUCAUACAGGGGGAUAACAGUUGGAAACGACUGUUACUACCGCAUAAGACCACAGCAUCGCAUGAUGCGGGGGUAAAAACUCCGGUGGUAUGAGAUGGACCCGCGUUCGAUUAGCCAGUUGGCGGGGUAACGGCCCACCAAAGCGACGAUCGAUAGCCGAUCUGAGAGGAUGACCCGCCACAUUGGGACUGAGACACGGCCCAAACUCCUACGGGAGGCAGCAGUGGGGAAUAUUGCACAAUGGGGGAAACCCUGAUGCAGCGACGCCGCGUGAGUGAAGAAGUACUUCGGUAUGUAAAGCUCUAUCAGCAGGGAAGAAAAUGACGGUACCUGAGUAAGAAGCCCCGGCUAACUACGUG
RNAcentral lists this ribosomal RNA (478 nucleotides) under uncultured bacterium. RNAcentral's name for it is "partial 16S ribosomal RNA". It matches the Rfam family "Bacterial small subunit ribosomal RNA", at positions 28 to 507 of the family's 1533-position model. The record is from RNAcentral.